GGGGGUGAACCGGAUUCGACCGGACUGAGGAAGUGCGAGUCGCGUGUCGCGGUUGGUCAGUGGGCCGCGUAAAAAGCUGACUACAAUUUUAAUUGCCAAAGAAAACUUGGUAAUGGCUGCCUAAGAAAAGGCACCCCCGGUUUUGGCCUUUAGCCGAAAAGGGACAAACACCGGCUGCAAAUUCGGAUCGUUUUUCACCAUGCCGAACACGUGAAAAACUAAAUAAAGUUUUCGACUCGUCCAAAGGAAACCUGUGCCGACCAGGGUUCCGGAGGAUUAAAACUCAAAUAGUCGGAUACACACGUAGACGCUUUCAUGGAAUCGCCACGGGACGCGGGUUCAAUUCCCGCCACCUCCAUCG
Molecule: transfer-messenger RNA, 361 nt
Filed under: Planctomycetia bacterium
Lineage: Bacteria; Pseudomonadati; Planctomycetota; Planctomycetia
Rfam family: transfer-messenger RNA
About the family: Bacterial tmRNA, also known as 10Sa RNA or SsrA, is named for its dual tRNA and mRNA-like properties. Its role is to liberate the mRNA from a stalled ribosome. To accomplish this part of the tmRNA is used as a reading frame that ends in a translation stop signal.
Source: RNAcentral